RNAcentral lists this long non-coding RNA (306 nucleotides) under Pogonomyrmex barbatus (red harvester ant). RNAcentral describes it as "uncharacterized LOC112552468, transcript variant X2". Lineage: Eukaryota; Metazoa; Arthropoda; Insecta; Hymenoptera; Formicidae. The record is from RNAcentral.
UUCCAACUACACUUUGUGUUAUACUUUCUGCACUUAAAAAUUAUUGUACUGAUCAGCUGAUCGCAGUAGACGUCCUUGGACACUCACAAGCUGGAAGUUGCACCGUUUAUCCACAAUAUAACCGAUACGAGCAGUUUGCCUCCGUUCUGGGAUGACGCCGAAUUGUUGGCGGUAUUUUCGAAUUAAGGAAGAUGAGAGGAGCAUGAGACUGCUAUGUUGCAAUAACCCGAGCAAAAGUUACGAGUGUAAACAAUAAUAAUUAAUAAGCCGGAAAAGUUACUAAAAUUAAAUUAUAGUAUUUAAUAG